AGAAAUUGAAUAUUAAAAAUGAGUUUGGAAAAAAGAGCCAAGUUAAAAAAUCAAUUAAGUUCUUGAUUUCUAAAUUAAUUUCUGUAGUUUAAUCUGACGAGAAAUUUGUGAUAAAAUCAGGAUCAGAUCAAUUACUGCUGUUCGUGGGCUCUCUCUUUGAAUUUGGGUCGAUCGAAGCACCUCCUCCUAGCCCUCAAGAACUCCAGUAUGUUCAAGAAACCAAAAGGGUGUUGGAGCUUCUCAGGAAAACAGAGGCAUGCUUUUUAGCGAUGUUAAGUUGACAGUGAUGAUUGAGGACCCAAGAAGAGAAGCUGAGAGAAGGAGACUGCCUGGCAUUAAUGAUGGACAUGGCUGAAGCUCAAGAACAGCUGUCAAAGGAAGCCGGGACCAUUCUUUCAUUUCAACAUGUCCUCUUUGAAAGGAUGUCUAGAAGAUGAUAUUUGAAAUUUAUCACUUCAUCUUUCUCGAAAGUUGAAGCAAUUGAUCGGAGAGCAAUAACUCAUUUCACAGACUGAUUAUUAUGUACAUAUUAAGUAUGUAUACAAGCAUAAAUCAUUGCGUGCAUGCACCAUGUAAACAAAUAGGUCCAAAAAACAUAGUGUGAUGACAAAAGGUUUGAGAUCUGCACAGCAGAUCUCGAGUUCGAGUCAAGACGUGUAUUUUUUAUAAGAGCCUGGAAUAGCCGGAGUUUUACUCGUUCACCUAGACCCACAAAGUAUGCU
This is a long non-coding RNA of Populus trichocarpa (black cottonwood), 722 nucleotides long. RefSeq lists it as uncharacterized. NCBI's taxonomy places the organism in Eukaryota, Viridiplantae, Streptophyta, Magnoliopsida, Malpighiales, Salicaceae. The record is from RefSeq and is a predicted model, not a curated record. The transcript is spliced from 4 exons.